CGGUGAGACCCCAAGAGGGGAGAAAGUAAAGGGGAGGUGAUUUGCUCAUCAAGGUCUACAUCGGUUCUCCAGCCACCCUGUAUUUUCAAGAAGUGGUCUCCAGGCAAGAGUAAUAUAAGUCAUCUACUGGGAAAUGAUGGUGGUGACCACUAUAUAAAUAAGACAUCAGGAAACUAACAAUUCCAUGUAUACUCGUGAGCCAGAGUUGGGAAAAAUGGAAGGGAUAUAAGGUCUGUCGAGAGAUCCCUGAAUACACAUUUAUGGAAAAGGAAACUUGCAAAAUGACAAAUGGUGAUGUUGCAGGAGCAAGACCCAGAAAGAAAAGCCAUAACCUCGCUGCUGGAAAAAAUGUUCUUGGACAUCAUUGAAAAGAACCAUGAACAUGGAGCUAAUUGGUAAAAAGUCUCAGGAAGCUAGUCAUAGAGGGGAACUUCCUCAACCUGGUGAAGAAUAUUUACAAAAAGACCUACAGCUUCAUGUUCCAAAAGAGGUUUCCAGCAAUGCAUCCUUGAGCUGUGUUGCUCUCUGCUCCUCCCGCUCAAUCUGCUUCCCUUCCUGGAUGGGCGUCACUGGUCGGCUGUCAACGGAUGGGGGUAUGCAGGGUCCCACACUGUCACUGCACGCCUUCCGCCACAUCUAACCGGAAGCCACGUUAGCAGAGAAGGAGAUGGUUAACCAGACCAAUCAGCUUGCAUCCUCAGGAAGCCAUUGCUGGUGUGCAGCUGUUGCAAAAUAUGUGAAAGGAGAAAGAGAGGUUGGAGGAAACCGUGGAGAAGAUGCCCCAGCCCGUGCUGGGUGACAGAGGUUUUACGGUGACUGCGUUUGUUUCAAGCUCUUAAGAACACAGCUCUUACGGCAGAGAAAACUUGUAAUACAAAGGGUUUGUGUCCCUGCUGGGAAAUGUACAACUGGAAUCUUACCCUCCCAAGAUCACGCUGACCUCGUGUGUACUGA
This is a long non-coding RNA of Suricata suricatta (meerkat), 954 nucleotides long. RefSeq lists it as uncharacterized. Lineage: Eukaryota; Metazoa; Chordata; Mammalia; Carnivora; Herpestidae. The transcript is spliced from 6 exons. The record is from RefSeq and is a predicted model, not a curated record.